This 454-nucleotide ribosomal RNA is filed under the name uncultured bacterium. RNAcentral describes it as "bacterial SSU rRNA". It matches the Rfam family "Bacterial small subunit ribosomal RNA", at positions 340 to 786 of the family's 1533-position model. The record is from RNAcentral.
UACGGAAGGCAGCAGUGGGGAAUAUUGCACAAUGGGCGCAAGCCUGAUGCAGCCAUGCCGCGUGUAUGAAAAAGGCCUUCGGGUUGUAAAGUACUUUCAGUCGUGAGGAAGGUGUUAAGGUUAAUAACCUUAGCAAUUGACGUUAGCGACAGAAGAAGCACCGGCUAACUCCGUGCCAGCAGCCGCGGUAAUACGGAGGGUGCGAGCGUUAAUCGGAAUUACUGGGCGUAAAGGGCACGCAGGCGGUUAAUUAAGUUGGAUGUGAAAUCCCCGGGCUUAACCUGGGAAUGGCAUUCAAGACUGGUUAGCUAGAGUCUUGUAGAGGGGGUAGAAUUCCGAUAUGUAGCGGUGAAAUGCGUAGAGAUGUGGAGGAAUACCGGUGGCGAAGGCGGCCCCUGGACAAAGACUGACGCUCAUGUGCGAAAGCGUGGGGAGCAAACAGGGAUUAGAUACC